CCUACGGGAGGCAGCAGUGAGGAAUAUUGGUCAAUGGGCGCUAGCCUGAACCAGCCAAGUAGCGUGAAGGAUGACUGCCCUAUGGGUUGUAAACUUCUUUUAUAUGGGCAUAAAGUGUAGUAUGUAUACUGCUUUGCAUGUACCUUAUGAAUAAGGAUCGGCUAACUCCGUGCCAGCAGCCGCGGUAAGACGGAGGAUCCGAGCGUUAUCCGGAUUUAUUGGGUUUAAAGGGAGCGUAGGCGGGUUGUUAAGUCAGUUGUGAAAUCGCGCGGCUCAACCGAGCCCCGCAGUUGAAACUGGAAGCCUUGAGUUAACAACAGGCAGGCGGAAUUCGUGGUGUAGCGGUGAAAUGCAUAGAUAUCACGAGGAACCCCGAUUGCGAAGGCAGCCUGCCGGGGUGCGACUGACGCGGAGGCUCGAAGGUGCGGGUAUCAAACAGGAUUAGAUACCCCAGUAGUC
Molecule: ribosomal RNA, 459 nt
Filed under: uncultured bacterium
Lineage: Bacteria
Description: partial 16S ribosomal RNA
Rfam family: Bacterial small subunit ribosomal RNA
Source: RNAcentral